RNAcentral lists this ribosomal RNA (465 nucleotides) under uncultured bacterium. Its description in RNAcentral is "partial 16S ribosomal RNA". It matches the Rfam family "Bacterial small subunit ribosomal RNA", at positions 338 to 795 of the family's 1533-position model. The record is from RNAcentral.
CCUACGGGAGGCUGCAGUGGGGAAUAUUGCGCAAUGGGCGAAAGCCUGACGCAGCGACGCCGCGUGAGGGAUGAAGGUCUUCGGAUCGUAAACCUCUGUCAGCAGGGAAGAACGGUCACUGUGCUAAUCAGCAGUGAAUUGACGGUACCUGCAAAGGAAGCACCGGCUAACUCCGUGCCAGCAGCCGCGGUAAUACGGAGGGUGCGAGCGGUAAUCGGAAUUACUGGGCGUAAAGCGCUCGUAGGCGGUAUGUCAAGUCAAGGGUGAAAUCCCCGGGCUCAACGUGGGAACUGCCUUUGAAACUGGCAAACUGGAGUGUGUGAGAGGAUAGUGGAAUUCCAGGUGUAGGAGUGAAAUGCGUAGAUAUCUGGAGGAACAUCAGUGGCGAAGGCGACUAUCUGGCACAUAACUGACGCUGAGGAGCGAAAGCGUGGGUAGCAAACAGGAUUAGAUACCCUGGUAGUC